GACGAACGCUGGCGGCGUGCUUAACACAUGCAAGUCGAACGGAAAGGCCCUGCUUUUGUGGGGUGCUCGAGUGGCGAACGGGUGAGUAACACGUGAGUAACCUGCCCUUGACUUUGGGAUAACUUCAGGAAACUGGGGCUAAUACCGGAUAGGAGCUCCUGCUGCAUGGUGGGGGUUGGAAAGUUUCGGCGGUUGGGGAUGGACUCGCGGCUUAUCAGCUUGUUGGUGGGGUAGUGGCUUACCAAAGCUUUGACGGGUAGCCGGCCUGAGAGGGUGACCGGCCACAUUGGGACUGAGAUACGGCCCAGACUCCUACGGGAGGCAGCAGUGGGGAAUAUUGCACAAUGGGCGGAAGCCUGAUGCAGCAACGCCGCGUGCGGGAUGACGGUCUUCGGGUUGUAAACCGCUUUCGCCUGUGACGAAGCGUGAGUGACGGUAAUGGGUAAAGAAGCACCGGCUAACUACGUG
This 468-nucleotide ribosomal RNA is filed under the name uncultured bacterium. RNAcentral describes it as "partial 16S ribosomal RNA". It matches the Rfam family "Bacterial small subunit ribosomal RNA", at positions 28 to 507 of the family's 1533-position model. The record is from RNAcentral.